AAGCCAGUUGUUAUUUCAUCGCAAAUCUCAGAACUUUUUAAACGAGGAGAAACUUGCAGAAACUAGCUUAAGAACUGUCGUCGUCACAAUGAGCAGAACACUUCUUACAGUUGUAGUGGUCCUGUUAGUUGCUGGUGUUUUCGUAGAGCAAGGUAGCACCCUGCUCCGGGCUGGUAGGGAUAAAAUAGAGAGGAUGCAACAUAAUUCUAAAAUGCAACAAAGGGAGACGGAUGAAAUAGGUGGAGUGCCUUAUUGUAUCAUGCCAGACACGGUAGAAAGGAAGAAAUGAGGACAUUAAAGACCCUAAAGAAUUAUGACUUUCCACCAAGCUGAAGGAAAUUUACUGCUUCAUGUACAUCGCAAUGGAAAAUGAAAAAAAUAAAAUAAAAAAAACAAUACCAAAAACAAAAAAAGCUAAUCACAUUCUAAUGCGACUGUAAGCUCAAACUGUAAAUAAAAUAGCAUUUAAAGAUUACAA
Orbicella faveolata is the source of this 478-nucleotide long non-coding RNA. RefSeq lists it as uncharacterized. Lineage: Eukaryota; Metazoa; Cnidaria; Anthozoa; Scleractinia; Merulinidae. The record is from RefSeq and is a predicted model, not a curated record.